UACGGAGGGGGCAAGCGUUGUUCGGAAUUAUUGGGCGUAAAGGGCACGUAGGUGGACUAGUAAGUUAAAAGUGAAAUACCAAAGCUCAACUUUGGAGCUGCUUUUAAUACUGCUAGACUAGAGGUCGAAAGAGGAUAGCGGAAUUCCUAGUGUAGAGGUGAAAUUCGUAGAUAUUAGGAGGAACACCAGUGGCGAAGGCGGCUAUCUGGUUCGAUACUGACACUGAGGUGCGAAAGCG
RNAcentral lists this ribosomal RNA (238 nucleotides) under uncultured Ehrlichia sp. Its description in RNAcentral is "partial 16S ribosomal RNA". It matches the Rfam family "Bacterial small subunit ribosomal RNA", at positions 524 to 761 of the family's 1533-position model. The record is from RNAcentral. Lineage: Bacteria; Pseudomonadati; Pseudomonadota; Alphaproteobacteria; Rickettsiales; Anaplasmataceae.